GAACUCGGGGCAAGAAGCCACAGAGCUGUUACCAAUGCUUGUCUCCAAGGGACAUGGAGUGGGAGAGAGGACGAGAGCGUGUAACCAGAGAGAGUUAUGGAGAGCCUGGAGAGGAGCAAUGACCAAGGUCAAGGACAAGGCCUGCCCAAGAGACCUUGCAGAGUGGAGGCCAGGAGAAUAAAGACUCUCCUCCCUCCCUCCGAUCUCUGGCUCGGGCUCCUAUUGACUGAGCUAAAAACGACAAAAGUAAUGGGCCCUGUGGAUGGCGUUCACACGGGCGGCAGAGGGCAUGUGGAAAAAGGCGGAGAAGAGUGGAGGGGGGUCUGGAGCAGCAGUGAAUUAACCUCCUGUGGCAGCCAUAACACAUUGCCACAAACUUGGUGGCUUGAGACACAGACAUUUUUUCUCUCACCGUUCUGGAGGCUGGAAGCCUAAAAUCGAGUCUAAAAUCAACGGGUCCCCUCUGGAGGUUCUGAGGGAGAAUCCGUCCACGCCUCUCUCCUGGCUCCUGGGGGCUGCCAGCCAUCCUUGGCCUUUCUUGGCUUGCAGACACAUCACUCAAAUCCCUGCUUCUCUUCCCAUGGCCUUCUCCUCUGUUUUUCUCCUUCCUUCUCUUCUAAGAACACUUGCCAUUGGGUUUAGGGUGCGCCCAGCUAAUCCAGCAUGAUCUUAUAUUGAAAUCCUUAAUGUACUCACAACUGCAAUGGCCUUUUUCCAAAUAAGGUCACAUUCACAGCUUCUGAGUGGACAUGUCUUUCGGGAGGAGGGCACCGUUCAACCAAUACAGGCGGGCAGAUGAGAUCUGGCACAACUGUGGAAAGAUAUUCAGGCAAACACAUAGUGUAGUGCCAACGGAGCAGGAAAAAACAGUGAGUGCGUUCAUACCCAUUUUUUGUAAGAAACCCACAGGGGUGUGUAUCUAGGCAUAAAAAAAGCAAUUGCAGGAGCAGAACCAGAAGUGUUCAGAAUGGAUCCUGCUCUGUGGUAAGAUUACAGGCGAUUUUCCUUUGUCUUUAUUUAUUUAUAGUUUCUACGUUUUAAAAAAGAUGCUGCAUUACUUUUGUAAUAUGAAAAACACAAACAGCCAAAAUAAAAAGAGAGAAAGAAAAAAAGGCUGAAUGACUGACACCUGGUGUUCUGAUCGGCAUGGAAGAAUGAAAGGAGUUUGCCCACUUAUAUAAAUAUAACAAAGGCCCCAGGUGUGGUCAAGUUGUAGGUGGUUUAAUCUCAGCUGUGCUUCUCUCCCUUGAACAGGAAAGGAAAGGGCAUUCGUGCUUCAUUUUAAAGCAAUCGCACUGUCUUCUGUGGGAUCCUCACCCAUUGGCUCCUGUCCCAUCACAACAGACAAAAAAGGCCACGUCCUGGCUUUGAGAGAAUGGACUUAAUUGUGUUUGCUUACACACGCCAGAGCCAGGCUGUGGUUCACCGUGCCUGCAGGUGUCAAAAUGCCCUGACAUACACCGGGUCUUAGAUCACGGCAGGGUAGGAAUUUCUUCCCACGCCAGGUCUGCAUCCUGGAAAGAAGGCUCUGAUGCUGAGGAUACCUCCGGGGUUGAGUGGGGCCCUAAGUGCUCCUGGCAUAGCAUAGCCCCUUCACUCAGUGUCUCUGUAGACCACCUGCUCUUUAGACAACUUCUUCUAACCAAAACCCAGUCUCCUGCUCCUUUUCGCGUCUCUUCAAAAUUUAUCAGAAUAUCUUUAGGCAACCAACCGUUGUAUAGGGGUAAAGUUAAGGAUCUUGAGAUGAGAUUACCCUGGAUUAUCUGGUGGGCCCUAAAUCCAAUAAGUGUCUUUACAAAAAGAAGAAGUCACAGAGGAGAAGACCUGUGAAGCCAGAGGCAGAAAGUGGAGUGAGGCCCACAGCCACUAGAAGCUGGGAGAGGUGAAGAACGAAAUCCCCCCAAGCCUCAGCGGGAACACAGCCGACACCUUGACGUCCGGCCCCAGGAUGGUGAGAGAAUAAAGUGCUGUUGUCGUAAGCCAUCCAAUUUGUGGUAAUUUCUUCCGGCGGCCCUGGGAAAUGAACACACCCUGUCUUUGCACAUUGUCCAUCCUUGAUAUUCCUCUGCUCACCUGGUGGCCCUGGAGCAGCUAAUUGAUACCUGCCCAUCAUUCUAGAGAGCGCUUUUCCAUUAAAAAGUUGUAGGUGUUUUGGGGCGGCCCAGUGGCGCAGCGGUUAACUUUGCACGUUACGCUUUGGCGGCCCAGGGUUCACCAGUUUGGAUCUCAGGUGUGGACCUGCGCUGCUUGUCAAGCCAUCCUGUGGCAGGCAUCCCACAUAUAAAGUAGAGGAAGAUGGGCAUAGAUGUCAGCUCAUGGCCAAUCUUCCUCAGCGAAAAGAGGAGGGUUGCUGGCAAAUGUUAGCUCAGGGCCAAUCCUCCUCAAAAAGAAAAAAGAA
This 2398-nucleotide long non-coding RNA is filed under the name Equus caballus (horse). Its description in RNAcentral is "lncRNA (ENSECAG00000057860.1)". The record is from RNAcentral. Lineage: Eukaryota; Metazoa; Chordata; Mammalia; Perissodactyla; Equidae.